UCGGGAAUUUUGGGCAAUGGGGGCAACCCUGAUGCAGCGACGCCGCGUGGGUGAUGAAGGUUUUCGGAUCGUAAAGCCCUUUUCUGCAUGACGAGCACAGGACGGUAGUGCAGGAAUAAGUGUCGGCUAACUACGUGCCAGCAGCCGCGGUAAAACGUAGGACACAAGCGUUAUCCGGAAUUACUGGGCGUAAAGGGCGUGCAGGCGGUUGCGUAAGUUAGGCGUGAAAGACUUCGGCUAAACCGGGGGAGGUCGUCUGAUACUGCGCAACUAGAGUAUGGUAGAGGCGUGUAGAAUUCCGGGUGUAGUGGUGAAAUGCGUAGAGAUCCGGAGGAAUACCAGUGGCGAAGGCGGCACGCUGGGCCAUAACUGACGCUAAGACGCGAAAGCAUGGGUAGCGAACGGGAUUAGAUACCCCCGUAGUCCCUGAGCGGGCUGGCAAGGCGCAU
This 449-nucleotide ribosomal RNA is filed under the name uncultured bacterium. RNAcentral describes it as "bacterial SSU rRNA". It matches the Rfam family "Bacterial small subunit ribosomal RNA", at positions 355 to 825 of the family's 1533-position model. The record is from RNAcentral.